UGUAGGUUUUAAGGUUUUUUUUGUUCAAUUAAAAAAAAAAUCAGAUAAUAUAAUAAUGGACACUACAGAAGAGCAGAUGCUGGCAGCAUGUCUAUCCUGAGUAUCGGUCCUCUUAAUGAAUACAUACGAAUUUUGGAAGUCAACAAAUACAAACACACGCAUGUGUUAUAUGUCAAUCUAUAGUUAAAUGUAUAUUCUUGAAAAUAACAAUGAAAACUGCAUUUAAAUCGGCAAUGUUUUGACAAAAUACUUGCUAGACUUAGCUAGACUCGGCUCCUUGUAGUAGCUAAUCGGUUUCAUCAUGUACAAUUGUCUCAUAGUAUCGUAUCGGCCCUGUUGAUAGGUUGCUAAGAUUUGUUACAAUACCCAUGUGCUUGUUCUUAAAGAAGUAACUUAAUGGAACAAAACUCGUGCUCAUGUUGUAAAAUAUUUUUACAUUUUAUUAAAAGAUAAGCAGCAUAUAAUUAAAACAUUUGAUAAAGCUACUAUUAAUCCAUAAACAAACUAACAUAAUUGUGUGUUACGUUAUUAAAAUCAUAGCAUCACCCUGGAAUAAACAUUACAUACUUUCCAAGGAACACCGUAAAUUAUGAGAAUGAUUGUCGUAAUGGUCAUGGAUUACCAUCAAAUAAAUUACAACUUCUAAAAAUUGAAAAACAUUAACUUUCCAGCACUUCUUGAAGGUUUUUCGUUAAAGGCACGAUACUAUGAGGAGAACCAAUACUAUUAGAUUAUAAAAGAAUAAAUGGUAUAGUUGCAAUAAUCCAACUCCAAGAUAGUGAACCUCCAGGUCGCUGGGCAUCGCAACUGGUUAGGGCAUAUUUCAUGUUAAGUCUGCCACCCAGAAUUUAGGCGGCACUUGAAUAGGCCCAUUGUCAGCAGAGGUCAUUGUGAUGCUGGAUCAAAGGUCACAUGGUAGAGGAUGGACAGGCGUUGAAGAUAAGGCCCUGUCAAUGGUGGACACAACACCCUGCACAAAAAACGACAUGGAUAAGGGCUGGCGAUAUCAAAACACAAGGCUCGUGUGUCAACGCGGCUGGAGACACCUCGAUAAAGAAUGCGAUUCUAGUGGACCUAGAUUUUUUGCCAAUGAAGGCUGAAGAAGAUCUUUGGCAUGGUUUCACUCUGAAUGGAAAUCGACGCUUAAGGGGUCAAACAGAGACAAACAUGGACGCCUUUUGGAGUUUUAUUUAAAUCCCCCACCAGCCCUAGCCAUGUGGCAUCAAAAUAAGGUUCUGACCUUACGGGUGA
This is a long non-coding RNA of Dreissena polymorpha, 1251 nucleotides long. RefSeq lists it as uncharacterized. The record is from RefSeq and is a predicted model, not a curated record. The transcript is spliced from 4 exons. NCBI's taxonomy places the organism in Eukaryota, Metazoa, Mollusca, Bivalvia, Myida, Dreissenidae.